RNAcentral lists this non-coding RNA (614 nucleotides) under Perkinsus marinus ATCC 50983. RNAcentral's name for it is "Eukaryotic large subunit ribosomal RNA". It matches the Rfam family "Eukaryotic large subunit ribosomal RNA", at positions 2793 to 3401 of the family's 3401-position model. Lineage: Eukaryota; Perkinsozoa; Perkinsida; Perkinsidae. The record is from Rfam by way of RNAcentral.
ACAGCUAGAGUGUCAGAAAAGUUACCACAGGGAUAACUGGCUUGUGGCAGCCAAGCGUUCAUAGCGACGUUGCUUUUUGAUCAUUCGAUGUCGGCUCUUCCUAUCAUUGAGACGCAGAAGUCUCAAAGUGUCGGAUUGUUCACCCGCCAAUAGGGAACGUGAGCUGGGUUUAGACCGUCGUGAGACAGGUUAGUUUUACCCCUACUGACAAAGUAGAUACUGCGACAGUAGUCGAAGUUAGUACGAGAGGAACACUUCGUCCAGAUACUUGGUUAAUGCCGUUGUCUGAAAAGACAGUACGGCGAAGCUACCAUCUGCUGGAUUACGGCUGAACGCCUCUAAGCCGGAAUCCAUGCUGGAUAAGCAGUGUUGUACACCGUGCUCAAUGCUACAAGAAAAAGGCUAGGUCAGGCUUCGGCCUGACCAAAAUUCAAGCUGCUAUACCUCUGGCUGCAUUGACUUGUGGUCAGAGUGUAUGGUGAUCAUAGCAAUUGCAAGUAUUGGGCUCGAUAAAUCCUUUGAAGACGACUUAAUUGCAUCCGGGUAUUGUAAGUGUUGAGAGUAGGCUUAGUCUUACGAUCCACUGAGAUUCAUCCCGUGUUGCGCCGAUUUGU